UUAUAAGAGACAGCAGCCGCCACGGGAAUACGAAGGGGGCUAGCGUUGCUCGGAAUGACUGGGCGUAAAGGGCGCGUAGGCGGUUUUGACAGUCAGAUGUGAAAUUCCUGGGCUUAACCUGGGGGCUGCAUUUGAGACGUCAAGACUAGAGUAUGGCAGAGGGGGGUGGAAUUCCGCGUGUAGCAGUGAAAUGCGUAGAUAUGCGGAGGAACACCGAUGGCGAAGGCAGCCCCCUGGGCCAACACUGACGCUCAUGCACGAAAGCGUGGGGAGCAAACAGGAUUAGAUACCCCGGUAGUCCCUGUCUCUUAUAC
RNAcentral lists this ribosomal RNA (314 nucleotides) under uncultured bacterium. Its description in RNAcentral is "partial 16S ribosomal RNA". It matches the Rfam family "Bacterial small subunit ribosomal RNA", at positions 499 to 807 of the family's 1533-position model. The record is from RNAcentral.